UUUUUUUUUUUUUUGCGUACAUUAUAGAAAAUAGCAUCAAAUUUUUUCUUUUCAUUAUAUGCAUAUUCAAUGGUCAUAUUUUUAGAUAUGAAAUUGUUGUCUUUUGUGUAAUUUUUUUGGUUGUUUGAAUUAGUCAUUAAAAGAAAUUUUUUUAAAAAAAUAUAUUUUUCAAUUACAUUUUUAUCUCUUUAAUCAUAUUCUUAUUUCAUUUCACAUACGUCACGUUACAAAAAGUCCUAUAUUGUUAUUUUAAAAACUUUUUACCAAACAUUACACCCCCCAUCCAGUUUUCUUAUAUUUUUAGUUUUUUAUUAUAGACUGUGGGGCCAAAGGCUCCCCUGCGGGCCCUACCUGCCUAUAUAUAUAUAAACACCAACUUAUGAUCUUACUCUCUUGAAUUCAAUACUAAUAAUCGAUUACAAGCAUUCAUUUGUUAGAAGAUGGGAAACUGUAUUAUCAAAGAAUCAUCCACACAAUGGGGAGGGGAUGAUUGGGGCUCUCCCUCGCCGGUGCCAUCAGAGGCCAAGAAAACCGUGUUUUCUUCUAGUGGGGUUGGCCAAGACAAUAAGUUGUAUGCGAAGCCAAUGAAAACAGAGGAGGAGAGUUUUCCUGGAGGAAAGAAGGGGGCUAAAUCUCUUCCUUCUUCUACCACGGCAGGGGCAGAGGUGAAGAUCAAGAUCACGAAGAAGCAAUUGGAGGAACUUCUGAGUAAGGUGGAUGUACAAGGGAAACCGGUGAAAGAGGUUUUAGCACUGUUGCUCAACCUUGGUGACGGAAAUGAGACACAUCCAAGGUCCUGGAGGCCUGCCCUGCAAAGCAUACCAGAGGCUGAGAUGUAAGGGCAGGUGUAAAUUAGGUCCUGUAAAGUUUGUUAAUUGUAUUCGUAUAUUUGUUAUGUCCUGUAAAGUUUUUUAUUAGGUUCUGAAUUCAGAUAUAGAACAAGGACCUCUCAGCCUCCAUUUAUCUCCAUCUUGUCACCACUUCCUUGAUCCCAAUGGAAAUGGGGUGGAAAUGGUUCUUGGAAAUUUUGGCCUGUGUGAAUAGGAAAGUAGUUGAACAUGUUUCUUUUUCCUUUGAUUAUUUUCCUUGUAAAUCUUUAAUUGAGAGUUAGUUACAUGAAUCAAAGACUAUAAGCAGCUAACCUACUCUUUCGUCCUUUUUCCUUCCUUUUGGGAUUUUCUUUUUUUUUUUUUUUGGUGGGUUGGGUGUUGUGGGGGGGGGGGGGUGGGGGCGAGGAGGGUGGAGGUGUUAUACUACAGCUAUUUUAUCAACAGAUCCAGUUAAUGCAAGUGAGAGGAUGUUUUCGUUUUGUCCAUUUAGGUAGGGCGAGAGCUCGUGCCAAAAUGUUUGAGAGCCUUUUUAACACCAAUUUAUGAUGUUCAAGAUUCCAUUAGAAUACAUGAAGUCGUGAAGGGGAUGGAGUUAGAUGAAAUUAAGUUUGUGAACGUCAUUUGGAGCCUGGAAGCAGAUCCGCGUGACAAUCCGCACACGGAUCCACCUUGGAUCACUGUGGAGCAAAGUUUUCUUCUUGAUUUGUCUCUGCCUCGUAUCUGACUACCAAUCUAGUCAUCUACCUCGCAUAUUCCCGUCAAACUGAUCUUAGGGUUUUUAAUUUUGUUUGAUUUCUUUUGUUUUGCUUGAUUUUUUUGUUCUCCUCUUAUGGAGUUCCUUAACGAAACGUGAGUUUCUUCUUGAAUUGUAUCAAAUACUUGUGAUGUUCAAAGUAAAAUGAUCAUGUCAUCUUAUUCUUUCCAACUACUAACUAAUCCACUAAGUUUCUAGAGACGGGUUCUCUUUAAAUCUAGUAAGAUAUUUGUUGUUCAUAACUUUGUCAAGAUAGUUCCUUCCUACCUGAUCGACUUAGUUCUUCAAAACAGAUUCUUACUGGGUUGAGUUCACAUCAAUUUGGCUAAUCAAUCCAUUUAAUUUUAUUUUAAUACAUACUUAUUUGACUAAAUGAUAAUGCCUAAGUGAUCACCAAAAGGGAAUUAAGAUGAUACAUUUUUGUAGAAUUGCAUUUUAAACAUCCAUAAAAAUGUUAUCUUGUUUGCUUACAUAUUAGAUUAUAGUAAAAAAACAAUAGAAAGGAGAAUUCAAAAAGAAAAAGAACCAAAGAAAUUUGCAUAAUAUAUUUUAGCAAUAGGGGCAAAAUCAAUGAUAAUCAAGUUAAGGCGGUUUGUUUGGAUUGAGAAUUAUUUAUAAAAAAUUAUUUGUUUAUAUUAUCAACACAUUUUAUAUCACAUCAAAAAGUGCUACAGUAUUUUUUUAAAUUAUCCCAAAUAAUCUACUACCAAACACACACUCGCUGUAAUAUUGGCUUUAGCACACACACCACCUUUUUCUUAUUGACUUUAACAUUGCUUAUAAUCCAUGAUUUUGACUCAAUUACUAUUCGACCUAAUCUCAAACACAUUUUUAUUAAGUUGGAGGUCGAAUCAAGUUUUUUUUUUUUUUGUAUUCAAAGAAAACGUGAAAUCAAGCCCUAAUGGUUUAAUCUAUUUAUAUAUGAUGAUGAUCUCAUAAUAAACUGCAAGGAAUGAACGCCAAACUAUUAUAGUUGCAUUUUUGGACUUGAAGAAGCUAAAACAAAUUUGCAAAAUUCUCCCGUCACGAAACGACAGCGUAUAGCACAAUAAGAAAUCAGAUUACUUUGCAGAUGCCCUUUUUUGAAUGCAAUUUUAAUAAGAUUAGAAGGAAAGGAAGUGUUGGUAAAAGUUGAAAUCCGCAAAUUAAGCGCCAAAAAGUUCAUUUUUGUAUCUCAUUUUGGCGCAAAAACAAAUGCAAAUCCUUCGAAAAAAAUAAAAAUAAAAAACCUAAACAGUCGCAUUCGUCACCUCAAUCCACCGCGCAAUGGCGGAUUUUGAACCUCCAUCAUUCUCACUAGGGUUCGAUUUGGACCUGGACCCGGACCCGGAGCCCCAGACCGCUAGAAGACCCGAACCAUCAACCAGCUAUAAUAUCAAACCAGCUAAAAGAUCAUCUGCCGGAGCUACCAUCCGUUCAAACAACAACGACGACGAGGAGGAUGAUUUUGAAACGCCAACAAUGGGCUUUAAACCACAAGUAUCGGACACACCUCGGACCCUCAAACGGCUCCGGCGAGGGCCCACAUUAGCCACCCAGAAAGGGAAAUCCAAAGAGGAGUGGUUCAAUGUAGAUGAUGAGAUUGAAGAGUUCUCUUCCCAGGAAGAUCCGUCUCCAGGUGAAAAGAUUGGAUUUUUCACAAAUUUCAUUAUUUUUCUUUUUUUUUUCCCCUUUCUAGUUUUUGAGUUCUGGGAUCUUAGUAGCUUAUUUGAUUUCUCACACAGACAGAGAAACUAAAGGAUAAAGUUUUUUUUUUUUGGUCCCCAGCGUUUUGAGUUUGUGAGAACAGAAAGGGGUUCAUUUUUAGUAGCAAGCCCGGUUUGACAAGGAAGAAAGUUUUAGUUUUAAGGUUUUCAUAAAGAUAUUGCUUUAGAUUAUGAAUUUUCUACAGCUCUGGGAAUUGUUAUAGAACAUAGAUUAAGUCUUUCUUGUUAUAAGGAAUGUUAAAUAGGGUAAUGUGCAUGUCUAACAAAGUUGUCCGAUUUGUGAGAAUCUGAUCAAGAACAUGGAAAUGAAGAAUUUGUAAGUUGAGAAAUAGGAAACUAUUGUCAAAUUAUUUAAAAGACUCCACGAAUUAUGAAAGUAUAUUGCCUCGAUAAAAUAUCUUAGCAAGAAAUCUGCAGUAGUAGAAGUCCAGUACAUGAGUAUGCGUACCCUAUGACUAGCAGUCAUAGUUUUUAGUGCAGAAAAUAUAAGAUUGUAAAGACUUUAGUGUAUUCCCUCCUGCAAAAGUUGAGUUUUUGUUGCUCAAUUACUUGCUUCUUGCAUUUGUUCUCUUAUAUCUGAAUUUGGAGGACCAUGUUUGUAACUUAUUAUAUAAGAUCCAGUAAAGACUUAGGCUUUGUGGAUUUAUGCUUUCGUGUCUUUAUAUUUGGGAAACCAUUUUUGCCGUUCAAAUUGAAUUAUAGUGCAAACCUUUAGCAGACUAUUUGUGAUGAAUUAAUAGGAGAUUAGUAAAUAACGAAAUUUGGCAUAAAAUCUGUCCUACUCUUGGUGAAGGUGAAAUGAGUACGUCUUGCACGAGUCAACAUCAACAUAACGUGGUAAAGCAUUUGUUGCGGCUUCCAAUCUUUAGUAUGUAGCUUCAUUUGGAGAUGAACCUUAUAGGCUUUAGUAGGCUAUUGGGCAGGAUUACUAUUUACACAGAUGAGGAUUAGACAUCAAUUUUGCAUCACUUGAUUUAGUUCCCUUAAGCUAUGAUGUCAUUGAUGACUCUAUGGUGGCACAUGGGUGUGGGGAUCUGUCUUCACAACCUAUAUUUAGCAUAACUAAAUAACUGGUAAUAUUCUCACUUAUUAUUAGUACCUGAUGAUGACCUUUUCCGUUGUAUCUGGAUUUUUAUCUUUCAGCCAUUUUCAGUAUAAUGUUUUUUGGUUGUUCAAAAUCAUCUUCCUUUGUUAUUUAACAGAUAAAUGAAACCUGAAUUCCGAGCAGUUAACACUCGCCCUUACUAAAUGUGCAGUUUCAAUAGCAGACAAUGCUUCAAAGCAUCACAAUCCCAUCUGCGGCAGUUCAAAGUUCACUUUAACUGGUCAUGGGCUUGUAGCCUCACAAGCAGCAAUACAGGCAGAGGAGAGGAAGAAGAAAGAGGUUUCAAAUGCUUCUACUUGCAACAGAUUGGUUUUCCCUGAGUUACAUGUCAGUCCCCUUAGAAAGUUCCAGUUGAUAGAUUCUGAUUCUGAUUCUGAUGAACCUUCUCCCCCUGGAGGUCCACAGAAAGUAGUCAAUCAAGUAGAAUUUUCUUCAAAAGACAGAGCUUCUGGUCCCCACUUAGUUGAAGCUGCAGCUGAAGUGAAGAAAUCUAAAGCCUCAGCUAGAAUGUCCCAAUCUGAGGAUUUAUGGAAAGAAAUUCAUUCAGAGAAGCCCUUGAACAUACCUACUCCAGCUUUUGAUGAGGUUUGCGAGGAGUAUUUCAGAUCUGUGAAAGGUAAAAAUGGAUUUUGGAAUUGCGACAAAGACUGUUAUGAAACCAGCAAUUUCAGUAAGAAUAAUGUAGAAGAACAUGUGGCCGGGCCUCAACCACCUGCUCAUGCCUAUUAUUAUCACGAGGAUCCAAGGAUCCAAAAGCUCGUUCAUUCUCGUUUGCCCAACUUUUUUCCCUUGGAGGCUGGAAACAACCAAGGACAGAAACAGCUUAAUGCAUGCCCAAUUGAUUACAUGUAAGAUGUUAAUAAUAUGCACACUUCAAAGUUUUAACGGAUACUUGUGGUAGAUGUAUAAUGUACCAUGUCUUACUUAUUCAGGGGCCAAUUCAAUCAACGAGAAAUUCCGAAACAUGGUAAAAAGGGACCUAAGAAUGGGCCAAGCUCAACAAGGAGCCAAAAGAGUGCAAGAAAAUCAAGUGUUCAAGAGUUGUCACAGGAAUCAGAGAGCUGGAUAAAUCCUAGAUGUUCUGCUAAAAAUCCUAAAGAUGCUGGCAAAAGAAGGAUACAUGCAGUAGGUAAAUCUUCUGGGCACUGGUAUACAGCUGCUGACGGAAGAAGAGUAAGUUGAAACACAAACUCCAUUUGUCUGAAGAAUUGCGUUCAGAUUGUUGUUUUUUUUUCAAUAGUUUCUGAACAUAGAUCUACUGUUAUGUUGAGUCUAUAUCUUAGCUGAUAGUUUUCAUGACUUAAGCACAAUGAUUCGCUUUAAGUUGGUUUUGUUACAGAAAUGUUUGGAUUCUGCAUUUCUAUGUUGCUUGAGGUUUCUGAUUGUUUUUUCCGCGUUGCUUCCUGUUCUUUGAUACUUGCAAUACGCUUUACUUUCCCUUUGUUUCUUUUUUCUAUUGCUUUGUAGACGUAAUAUUUUAUGCCAAAUUCACAUCAUAUGGUGCUUAUUAACCUAAUGGUCAUCUUCAGGUUUAUGUAGCUGGAAAUGGACAGGAGUUGACUGGUCAAAUUGCUUAUAGACAAUACAGAAGGGUAUGAUCUGUGCUACAACUGAAUACUGAAUCUCAAAAUGUCAGCCUCCCAUGUGUUCUUCACAACGAAAUAGUUUCUAAAGUUGAUCGAAGUUUGGGGCUGGCGGUUUCUUCGCUAUAUUACUUUUAAACCUCAUUCAGUUCAGCAUAACUUUAAAUUAAUAUAGAUUGAUAAAUGAUGUUGACAACAUCCAGGUGUAGGUUGAUUUAGCAGAUUUAUAUUUAAAACCACAUCAUAAUUGGUAGUUUUAUGAAUGAACCGUGAUUGUAUCAUUCUGUUGGCUGACAGGAGAGUGGAGCUGGACUCAAGAAGUCCAAGAAGAAAGCAGCAACAAAGAAGAAACCUGCUAGAAAGAAGAAAUAAUCCUUGAUUACCACUCCUCUCGGUUUCCUGCUAUCUCACCUGUGUGACUCUAUCCAAUUAGGGCAGCUACAUGAACCUAACUCAACCUUUUUCUUUCAAAUAUUUGAAAAAGAAGUGUGAUUUAUAUGCAUUGCUGAAAGAAUAAAAAGGGCAGCUUGGUGUUGUAUCUGUAAAUGUUGAUUAUGCAAAAUUGUAUUUCCUUUUAUUUGGUUAAGAUUGUUCAAGUGAUACCAAUAUAUUGUUACAGAAAAACCAAAAGCAUUCGUAAUUUACUUCAUUGUGAAUUUUGUUUUUGUUUCACAAAGAAAAAAGAAAAGCCAAUUAAUCAUAAUUGCAUAAUUUGUCAAAAUACUGCUACGUCUUAGAUGGCAUGUGAUUUCCUGGAAAAGGGACAUUGCAAUUUGUGGAAAUUCUAUCCACGUGGCAGUUGAACCAAUUUUAUAAUAAUAUAAACAAUCAUUUGAUCCUAGCAUAGUACUAUAUGCUUGACAUUUCAUUCAUCAACUAGCCAUCUGUCAAGCUUUUCCAUUCUUGCCAUAAGAGACCAACAUUACUUGUAAAGGAAACUAGGGGAAUCAGGCUGUGUUAGGCACAGCAUUGGCCCUUCAAUGUGUUCUUACUUGUGUUGUGCCCUUGCUAAGGCAAGUUUCAUAUUAUAUGGUUCAAAGGCUGCAUUAUCAAUAAGCUCAUGUACCAUUCCUAAUCACAUAAUAAAGACAUAAUUAACAUAAGCACAGCUUAAUAGUACAAUUGUCAUUUGCAUAACUGUCAAGCAACUACAUACUUUCCAGUGCGAUUUUGUUCAAAACAAAGGUAGGGUAACAUGUUAAUUGCUUAAUUCAUAUUUCAUGAUAGUUACUCCCUCGGUCUCAUUGAAAGUGUCCUACUUUCUAUUUUGGGAUGUCCCAAAACAUUUAUCCUGUUGGAAAAGUCAAAACUCCUUUUAGUCUCUCUUUUCAAUAUAAUCCUUCUUUCUAAUUAUAUAUAUAUAUAUAUAUAUUACCAUUCAAAUUUAAAUUUAGAAUUUAUGGGGAUAAAAUUGGAAAGAUAAGUACAAACAUCACAAUCAAACUACUAUUUUUAAAAAAUUGAAUUUCUGAAAUAUGACUAAAUAAUUGGAACGGAGGGAGUAUAUAAUAUCAUAGGAUCCAUUGAAUUCUAAUGAUAAAUUGAAUCUUAAUGGAUCUUAAUAUGAUUCCAAAAGGAUGAUAGUCCAACAAUUCAGUGGUACAUUAAUGUAAUAAAAGAUAGUACGAAGUUAUGGGGGGAACUUCACAUCAUAGCAUCACGCCUUUUCUUCAAAGGGCUUAUCUCAGCAGAUUUAGGAGAGGUUGGAUUCUUGUCUUAAGUGGAAUCCUCCUCAGCGGUUAGUGGAAAGAAGAUGAUCUGUUUUCUCAGCAAAUGGUGCAAUAAUUUUCUAACUUUAACAUUUCUUUUUUUUUUUUCUUUUAAACAGAUCCAAACUAAACUAAGUCAAUGCAGUAAAAUCAAACAGCAAAAGCAAACAUAUACUAAUUCAUGCUGAUAAUGUUUAAGGGCUUUGAACAGAGAACACAAAUAUUCUAAUUCAAGACUCCAAAAAAAAAAGCCAGCAGAACAAAAGGCAAAAUUGUCAUGGAGAUUUUACAGAUGUCUGAUAGCAAUAAAUCUUAUUUUAUUACCUUUUUUUUUGUCUUUUACGCUUUUUCUGCUUUUCAAUUAAACAAAACUAGAUUGCCCUAUUUGAUAACUCAAUUCAACACUUAAACUUAAAUAAAUCAGAUCUUAACAUAUUCAGACCGUUUGAUAAUCAAAAAUUGAAUGUCUGAAUUAAUUAAGGGUCUGUUUGGUUGGAAGUAAAAUGUUUUCCUUGGGAAAAUAUUUUCCGUGGAAGUAAUUUUCCAUGAAAAUCAUUUCCCUUUCAUCAUUUUUAGGUGUUUGGUUAGCUUAUUAAAAAUAUUUUCUUACUUCAUUUUUCUGGUGUUUGUUUAACUAUUGAAAUAUUUUCACUUUUAUCUCUAUCUUUACUUUCUACACAUUAUAACUACAUACUUCUUCCCAUGCAAAAUAAGAAAAUUUAUCUCAUUGUUUAACUUUAAAAAAUCUUGGAAAAAUGUAUAUAUGAACAAAAAAUAUCUCCUUAAGCAAUAAACAAAUUGCUGGCCAUUUAGUGUCAAAUAUCAAUCACAUGCAAUGCUUAUUGUGACAUAUAUCUUGCACUCUCACUGCUGAAAGUUUCUCUAGAAAAAAAUGUCCCUAUUAUACAUAAUUAAUUACUAACAUAGGAUGAGUAGGAUGAGGUUUUUUUUUUUUUUUUUUUUUGAAUAUACUAGGGGGAGGGUUAGGUUAGGUUGGGUGGUACGGGGGAGGGAGUGUAAGGAAGAGGUCUUGGGUUCGAGUUCUCCUGUUUACACUAAAAAAAAAAAAGAACAUAUUACAAGAUGUUUUCAGUAAGUUUGAAAUAUACUACAGGCGGGAUGCAUGCAUUUCGGAAAACAACUUCAGUAAGUUUGGAAAGAAAGUUGUUUUCCAUAAGAUGAGUGAAAAUAUUUUACAUAGGAAAAUGUUUUCAGUAACUUUUGUGCAACCAAACACGGGAAAUUAGGAAAAUAUUUUCCUGGAAAACAUUUUCACCCGAAACAAACGGACCCUAAGUGACAUUAAAUUUUCUAAACAAAACAUGCUCCCAAAAUUCAGUAAUAAACUUUCCACUUAUCACUGAUUGUGAUAUGCAUUCAAAUAUAUUAAAUUUAAUACUUAACAAUUCAAUAACUUAAUGGAUUCAGACUUCAAUUUUCAAUUUUCAAUAUUAUCAAACGCUUCGUAAGUCAAAACAAUAAAAGGAAACAGCACAAGCAAACACAUGCUAACAAAUGCUGAUAAUAUCUAAAACCUUUCAACAGAGAACAUAAAGGCCAUAAUUCAAUUAGCAAGAUAACAGAUUCAAGGCUCCAAAUAAACAAGAAAAAAAAAAAAAGAAAAGCCCAAGCCAGCAGAACAAAAGAUGAAAGCUUUAUGGAGUUUUUAGACAAACUUCACAGCGACAAAUGCUAACUUUCAGAAGAAAUAGAGGCACAGCUAACAGUCCAGUCACCUUGAUUUUUUUUUUUACGAAACGUUAGAUUCAUUUCAUUCAUUGUAAUGAAUAAUUACAUGUGCGACCAAAGGCUCGAAAGGUCUGUACAUCUAGUGCUCAAAUAGCACUGAGAAAAUUCCAUUCCUCAUCCACAAAAAUGCUUAAGGCAUGGGAACUUAGGUUGUGUUUGGAUUGCAUUUUCUAUCAUUUUUCAUGAAAAAAUUACUAUAGCGAUUUGAUAUAUGUGAGGGAAAAAGGUGAUCACGGAAAACGACAAUAUUUUUCGACGGAAACAAGUAAUCCAAGCAUGGCCUAAUAUUUUACUUCUUUGUAAUACUUUCCUCAUUAACCAAGCGAAACAAGCACAUGCGAAACAGCUUCUGCAUGUUAAGAAUGUCAUUUAUCAAGGUAGCUAUACUGCUAUUGGAGGGCUCUUGUACCUGAUCUGUCUCUUAAGUUCUUGGUUCCAGCCAGCUUGAUUGCAAAGAGAAGAUGUACAUUUUAUAACCAGAAGCCACGAGAAAGAGGGAAAAUUAGUACAAAGAAAAAAACAGGAAAAUUAAAACGAAAAAAAAAUACUAAUAAAGCAAUAGAAAUAAUCAAGAAAAAUAAAUUAAUUCUAGAUGCAAUUAUAUACCACUUGUUAUCAAGGGUAUUUAUAUUAACUUUUUUGACGAGAUGUACACAAAAAACCAUUCAUUUAGUGGAGAAGCCGAUAUAAAUGUUCUUUAAUAUACAAAAUUGCACUGUCUUUGUUAAUUAAUCAUUCUAGUGCCCCAUUGUCACACAUUUUUCAUUGUAAUAAGUGAAAUCAUCACCAAAAGAAACUAUGAAACUAUGAAAUAAUUUUAUCGGUUGUACGAGAAAAUUGUAUGGAAGUGAAAAGAAACUUCAGAAAAAAAAAAAGAGUGUGAUUUCUUAAAGCCCAGAUAAAGUUUGUACAGUGGUUUGUAAAAUCUACGUCUAGGGGGAAAAAAACCCACUUUCCGCACUUUGUUAAAGUAUGUCUCUCAACUUCAUCUUUUUUUUCAUUAUUUUUGUUGGAAAAAUCGUUUGAAUCACUCACUAUACAAGAAAAUCAACAUCUUGGAACUCUACAAGUACUCAUAGAUUCCCCUCUCUGAUGCAUUAGCCAGCAAGUCCCUGGAAUUACCUUUCGAAUUAGAGCUACAAAAUCCCCGAAAGCUACUUUCCUUUGCAAGUAUUAAAAAAAAAAGGUAUUUGAAGUUAAGCAUAUAAAAAACAAAUAAGUUUGUUCAGUCGUACUUGGUAACUCCAUGUGUCGCACUGGCGCCCUAACCCAGAGGAGGGGCAAGAACGGUUGCAGAACCGUUCCUGAAGAUUCAUGACCAAAAUUUGGCCAAAAAAAAAAAUAUAUAUAUAUAUAUAAGGUUCAAAUCACAUCUUAUAUAUCGAUUUUCACAUUAUAUGUGGGGUUUAUAAAAUUUUGUUCUAUAGUUACACGUUAUUGAAAGUGAAUUAUAUUAUUUGCAUACAAAGUUAUAUCUUGUGCAUUUUACACUAAAUUGACUCGAGCAGUUUUUCUGACAACCUUUCGGGCCCAUGCUCCCCUAACCCCUAGGGAAGCAAUAACGAACCAUUUAAAACAGAGCUCUACAUGAAAACUUGCUACUGUUUUUGCUUUUUCAGAUAUAUAUAAGGUUCAAAUCGCAUCUUAUAUAUCGUUUUUCACAUUCUAUGUGGGGUUUACAAAAUUUUGUUCUAUAGUUACACGUUAUUGAAAGUGAAUUAUAUUAUGUGCAUACAAAGUUAUAUCUUAUGCAUUUUACACUAAAUUGGCUCGAGCAGUUUUUCUGACAACCUUUUGGGCCCGUGCUCCCCUAACCCCUAGGGAAGCAACAACGAACCAUUUAAAACAGAGCUCUACAUGAAAACUUGUUACUGUUUCUGCUUCUUCAAAAAUAAUUAACAUAAAAAUUAACAUCCGUCAAUAGCACCGUGCAUAAUAUUUAAGAUUUAAAUAGUUAUGCCUUGUUUAGAAUGCCCUUUUUUUUUCGUGAAUACAUUUUUCAAUGAUUUUUGUACCUCACAUACAACAAAUCAAAUCGUUAUAAUGUAUUUUCUAUAAAAACUUUAGAAAAUAGCAAUCUAAAUAUUGACGUAUAGUUACCAAACACUAAUAUAGGGAAAUAAGUCUACCUAUUUCAUCAGAUUAUAUCAAAACAAAAAGCAUCAUGCACUAAAGUUCCCCAAUAUACCUACCAUAGUGUAUGGUGGAUAUAUUCCGUUUCCUGGAAAAUGCAAAACCAUCCACAUCGCACGUAAAUAAAUUUUAAUAGAAUGUAAUCAAUGUAUAGCCAAACUUUUUUUUUUCAUUAAAUUAGCCAGCACUUCCAUUUGUUUUUUUGCCAUAAACAUUGCUAAAUAAAAGAUAACUUAACCAAUCUCAGAUCAGGCAAAUCCUUAACGAUAAGAAAGCGAAUCAAACAGAAAAUCAAAAUGGCUAUUGAGCCAGUCAAAUUCGUUAUAGUUGUUCAAUUAAUCCACUGUCAAAAUUGUAAGGAUCGAAAACAACCUAAGGAGGGGUAUAUUAGGUGAAUUAAGAAACUAAUCAGAUUAUGGGCACUUUUUGCUCAAUAUGAAAUUUACCCUCUUUUCUAAGUGAUCACACAAUGAAUCAAUCAAUCAAUGAACAAAAUCACUUGAGAGAAGUAGAAGAUAUAAGCAAUUUAAAGAUCACAAAAUAACAAUAAGCAAAUAAGAAGAGAAGAAUUGCAAACCAAUUGACUACCAAGCGCCUCUUGAGCUUGUAGAUCAAUUCAAACAAGUUUUUUCAAGUUCAUGAAAUACAAUCAAUCUUGUGUAUAAAGGAAGGUUCACUUCCUCCUUACCCCAAGCUCCAUUCGGUCAAGUUGGAAAGUUUUACUAUCCCUUAGGACAACCCUCACAGAGUUACACUAUUGAAGUAUUCACUCACAAAUGAAAAGCUUACAAUAAACUUCAUACCACCAAGACUACAAAUCUUUCUUGGAGAGUGUUUUCUCACUAAAACUACUCUAUAUCUUUUGUAUCUUCAGUGUACAAAAGUUAUUUGAAAUUUCUGACCAUGCUCUAUUUACAGGAGACCAAGAAAGUGCUUCAUUAAUGAUUCCAACGGAUAGAAAGUAGUUGAAGAGUCAACUAGCCGUUGGGAGUAUCGGACGUCCGGUACAUCCGUAGCAUGCGUCCGACAGCAGGCAAUGAGUUUGAAAAGCUUCUUCAAUUCUAUUGAACGUCCGGUGCUUGCGUCCGAAAGCAGAUAAUGAGUUAGAAGGAAUAUCUCAAUUCUAUCGGACGUCCGAUAUUAUCUUUGUGAGCGUCCGACAGCUUUCGUCAAGUUUGAAGGAUAUUAUCGGACGUCCGAUACUUGCGUCCGAUCGAAGUCAGUGAGUUAGGGGGAAUGUCUUAUUUCCUUCGGACGUCCGGUGAUGGAGUUCUUCAUGCGUCCGAAGUUGCACAAUAAUUAUCGGACGUCCGAUCCUGUCUUAACAAGCGUCCAACAGCUUUCAGCAACUUUUGUUUCUUUCAAUUGCACUUAAUCUUUGAAUCUGAUUUGUUUCAUAACUCAAAGUAUAUCUUGAAAAUAUAUUAGUAUCAUCCAUUUAUUUUGUAAACAUCAAAAGUUAGGGACUAAGAUCAACAAAAAUCAUUUGAAUAGCAAUACAAAGACAUACCUACUAAUCUACUUUAUAAAGAAUAUGACCACAGAAACAAGAAUUCUUCUGUCUGCUACUUCACUAAUGUUGAUGUCCUUCUGCCAGAUUGAAGUUCAAUGCUGCUUCCAGUAAAAGCACCGGGAGGACCUUUAUUGUCAUCAUCAUCUCCAUAAGGUGGAUGUUUCUUUGAUGAUCCUGUAGAUUUACAAUGCAAGCCAGGAUAUGCAGGAUCUUUCUUGAAGUUAUCUUCUGAAAUUGCUGAAUCUGUACUCAUGUAAGAACUAUGGCCGCCUUGAACAUUUAGUACUCGCUUGAGUUUGGAAUUUUCCCCUGCUGCCUCCUUCACUAGUGCUCUUAAUAACAGCACCACUAUUUCCACGGUGUCUUAGAUUAUAUCUGUUCUUUGGUUCUUGACCAUCUUGAGGAUCAACUGGUGUAAGCUGAUGAUGAACUGUGCCCUUGCUGCUUCCUUCACCAGUACUCUUAAGACCAAAAGCAGGAUUUUUAUGCAAUCUUAGAUUGUAAAAACCUGUCUUUGAGCCUUAACCAUCUUGAGGAUCAACUGGUGUAAGCUGAUGAUGAACAUUGCCCUUGCUGCUUCCUUCACCAGUACUCUUAGAGACCUAGACCAGCAUUUUUAUGCGAGCUUAGAUUAUAAGAACCUGCCUUUUGGCCUUGAUCAGGAUCAACAGGUUUAGGCUGAUGAUGAACAUUGCCCAUGCUGCCUACUUCACCAGUACUCUUAAGAUCAAGACCAUUAUUUCCACGUGGUCUUAGAUUGUGGACACUUCUUGAUAGUUCUUACUCAGGAAGAUGAGCCAGUUCCUUCGACGUGGCCUCGGGAUCUUCACCUUGUUUUUGUUUCUUAGACCCUUCAGCUCUCCGUCUGUACAAUAAACAAUCAAUCCAAGAUAUGAAUAAUGAAUUAAGAAACGCAAUGGAUGUGAGAAACAGCAAGAGUAAAUCAAAAUUUUGACUUGCUUGUCCUUCAUCUUAGAAGUUGGAAAAAAGAGACCGAAUCUGUCCAAGAAAUUAUCAAGAAAAGCAAUAAUUCUUGACUGAAGGAGAAUCUGAUUAGCAUUGACCGACUGAAGGGAUGAAGAAAGUAUAAAGAUUGAUUAAAAAUGGAGAGAGAUGAUCAAGAGAUGAGUAGGAGAAGAACAGGGGCGAUUGAAUAGCUCUAUUUCCAGCUCUGCACUAGAAAUGGCUGUGCAAUCUGGGUUGGGAGGAUAAAUUUUCAACUACUGCUUCUGAGUCCUUCUCAAACGAGAUAUACAGAAGAUGAAUUCAAUAUAUACGUGGGGAAGAACAAUGAGAAUGGAAGUUGGAGUUGUGAUAUAAUCAAUUGAAGGAAAUGGGAUGGGAUUUUUGAACUCUGUCUUAUAGGGAAUUUUAUAUCAAGCGAACAGAGACUUAGCGACCGCGUUAGGGACGAUUGUUGACGGUUACUGGAUUGUGCAGUGUGCACAAGAAAUGGUGAAAUUUGUCUAAAAGAAAAGCAAUUUGUCAUCUUUAACUUACUAGCUCGCGUAUCAAAAUCUCAUUUGGGCCUUCAACAAGUUUGGGCCUCAGAAGAAGUACGGGACAUUUCAUGUGUGAGAAUAAACAAGUCAUGUUGACUAGACAUGGCAGGGGUCGGAUACUCUCAAAAAUCCAUUUUACUAAACUCUAAACCAUAUAUUUAAGUCUUUUACCAAACUCCAUGAGUAACUCUACAGAUUUUAACUUCCAUUACCAAACACUCUCAAUCUCUAGUUCAGAUUAUUCAUCGGAUACCUUUACCUGUUAAUUUGAAUAGUUCAAAAAAAGGUAACUAAUUAUUAUUAAACUAAAAUUAAUACAUACAUCAUAUUAAAUCAACACAUUACGUUAAUUAACUAUUACCUUAAAUUUUAAAAUGAUAGACCAAAAAGAUGGAAUGAGUGGUUGUCUUUGGCUGAGUGGUGGUACAAUACCACCUACCAUACUUCCAUAUAGAUGAGUCCAUUUGAGGCACUUUAUGGUCUUAAACCAUCACAACUAGCUCUAGGGCCAUAUUUGCAAACCAAUAUAGAUGCUGUGAAGGAUUAUUUACAGGAAUGAAAGAAGCUAGACGCUAUGCUAAAGAAAAACCUAGAGUUGGCACAGCAGAGAAUAAAUAUGUAUGCUGAUAGAAAGAGAAGUGAAAGGGAAUUUGCUGUGGGGGACUGGGUGCAUUUGAGGCUACAAUCUUACAAACAAAACACAGUGGCUGUAAGAGAGACUCGCAAGCGCUCUGCCAAGUAUUGUGGACCAUAUCAGGUCCUAAGCAGAAUUGGAAAGGUAGCUUAUAGGCUGAGAUUACCAGCUCAAUCCUUAAUUCAUCCAAUUUUUCCAUGUCUCUUUACUGAAAAGGAAGGUAAGUAAGCAUGCUGUUCCCACCACACAGCUUCUAGUCACUGAUAAAGAGGGUUGAGUGAGGAUGGAGCCUAUUGCAGUGCUUGAUAGAAGGAUGGUGAAGAGGAAUAAUGCUACAGUUGGUUGGUGCAGUGGUGGAACUCAUCACCAGAAGAAGCAACAUGGGAAGAUGCUAAGUACAUUGAGACAGUUUUUCCAAGUUUCCAAUCUUGAGGACAAGAUUGUGCUAAGGGGGAGGCCUUGUCACAGUGGACAGGUCAAAAUGGAAGCUCAGAUUGGUAGUCAGAAAUUGGGAAGAAGGCAUGAGAGGUAAAAGCUAAUUUUUUGAAGAGGCGAGGAACGACCCUUGCUGAGAAGCACGCCUCUGCUGGAGCAAAAGGAAGAGUAUAAGUAGCAGUUGUAACUUUUUGUCUUUUCCCUUAUGGACACAUGUCGUCAUUCAAUUAGUUGUUAGGGAGUUAGUUAAGAUUAAAUAAACCUUGUGAGCUCACAUUUUCUUUCAGAUACAAUUUUGCUUAUUUUGUCAAGAUUGAGUUUGCUUAGUUAAGUGAAUACUUUCUUCCUUUUCUCGCAAGUUUCCUUCACAACAUUCUUCACCCUCUAAUCCCACACAAAUAUCUGUUUCUCCGUAAUAUUUGAAUUAAUUAAUGAGAAUUUGAGCUUCUAGUGUAUCCAUAUCAUUGUUACAUUGAUUUAUUUGGAAAAUUGUUUCUAAAAUUACCACAGCUCUAGUCACCAUUACACCAAGAUGAUGGUGACGAUCAAAGGAUCCCAUUUUUGUGAUUUGACUGCGUCAUUUCCUGAUAUCGAAUUCCAGACUAGUAUUAAUAUCUACCUCAAGAUUAACUUGGACUAGUGUAGCUGCAUCAUGGUGUUCUUAGUCUUGAUAGAAAGGCUGAAGUUCAAGAUUUGGGAUUAGUGAAGCUGCAUCAUGCAAUUCUUGAUCUUGAAGAAUAUGCAAAUGAAAAUCUUCUUGAACGGCAGUGGCAACCUUGCCGACAGCAGCUUGCUGACUAUCGGGAUUUUCCUGAUUAAUGGGAUGGCAUUUGGAUGAAAUGCUGCUUUCUCCUCCUGCUACUGAUGGCCUUGGCCCUGCGGUGGAUUUUGAUGAUGAUCAUGGGGUGGCGGGAAAUGCCCAUCUCUUCUUGCUUUAUAACUAGUAUAAACAAUACAUUAGUCGAAGAAUAUGAGCGAUUAAUUUAAUAUAGGUAGCAAAGCUGAGAAUAUAUAGCAGUACUAAAGAUUGGAUUUACUUGGCUUUAAACCAGGGUAACACCCUGGAAGCUAGAUAAGGAGACUUGCGUAAUUGUUCAAGAACUGGAUAAUAUUUUCUAGAUUGAGCUUAAUUUUGACGAAUUGUGACCAACAGAAACAACAAAAGGAAGAAGAGGGAGGAGGGGGUGGAUGGCGGCAGCGGUGGUGCGAGGAGGGGUGGUCACAGCGGUUGAGCAAAGAGGGGUAGUGGUGGUGGGUAGUGUGUGGAAGAAGAAAGAUGAGAGUAUUUUUUAUUUAGUUUUUAGGUGUAUUUGAAUUUGUGUGUUUUUGGAGUUAUUUUUGAAGUUAUUUUUGGAAUUUAUUACUAUAGAUUCUACAAACAAAAAAUAGUUUUGAGAAAACAAAGGAAAUCCACACAAGGUAUUUUUCAAAAACUUUACUGUAAUUGUACAUAUGGAAAAAUUUUACUGUAAAUGUUUUUAGGAGUGUUUUCGAGUGUAUUUUUAGGAAUUGUUUUUUGAAUUUAUAACCUUUUUGAGAUAUUUUGAAAAAAGCUUACACCACUCACCACCACCACUCUACUCUCUCCCUCUUUCUCCCCCUCUCUCAUUCUCCCUCCUCCUCCUACAUCCUUCCUCCUCCCUCUCCCUCUCCUUCUCGUACUCAAAUUUUGUCCACCUCCAAACCUUCCAAAUUUCAAGCAUUGUUCCUGAGAAUGCAAACUUCUCAAGAACCCCUAUAAAACCUUUCUUCUGAAUGUAGAUCAAAACACCAACAAGACUCUCAACAGGGCUGCGAAGGUGAUGCUCUAGGAUUUCUUGACAAUUUCUUGAAACUUGGAGUUGAAGUUGAGUUAGAUGAAGACCAAAUAGCUACUUUAUGAGCUGCAAAACCUGCAGGGCUAAUAAUGGCUCUUGUGGGUUCAAUCCUUCAGACCGUGGAAAGCCAUUCCUCUGUUUCAAAUCCCCAGCUGCACAAAUUCGUGAAAAGGGUGCCAAUAGGAUUGCAAUCUUGUGCAUUCUUUUCUUGUUAAUGUGUUUCUUGAUCAUAUUUUUUGUUGGUACUAUUAUUUUUUGAUAUAGGCAAAAAGGAUUGGCUUUAGAAGAAGAUCCCGCCAUUGUUUUCCAUCGAGACACUGCUCAACUAGUCUUCUUCCACCAAUGUUUACUUAUGAGAAGCUUGAGUCUUCUAUCCAUCAUUUCGACCAAAAACACAAAAUUGGCGAUGGAGGAGAGAAGAGAGAGGAGGAAGAAAAGGGAGGAAGGAGAAAGGAAGGGGGAAAGUGGCAGCAGUGGUGGAGGAGGGAGAAUGGUGGCUGUGGCGGUGGCAGUGGAGAGUGAUUGGUGGUGGUGGUGGUGGAGGUGGUGGUGGUGGUGUUGGAUAGUGUGUGGAAGAAGAACGGUGGGAAUUUUUUUUUCUUUUGGUUAUAUUAUGUGUUGUAUUUUUGGAAUUUAUUAAUGUAGAUUUGAAAGACAAAAACAAUUUUUGGAUCACAUUUUUUGAGGAGCUUUUAGGAAAAUUUUAUUAUGCCAUUUUUUAGAAUGUGAUGUAUGUAAAGCAAAAACGUAUUAUAAAGUGUAUAAAGAAAUAUUCAUGGAAUUUUUAACAUAUGAUGAAUCAAAUUACCAAACACUGUUUGUCUUUUCAGAGAAUCGUUGUCAAAUGAAAAAUUGUCAAAUGAAGCAAAAAAGCCAUAUUUAUUAAAACAACCACAAUCCAUAUGAAGACACUAUUGACAAAUAACUAUAGCAAGAGGCAAAAUAUUAUGCCACUAAUGAUUUAACAACUACGUCUUCCAAAAAAGAUGCAUAGAUCCUUUGCAUCAUGCUACCAAAACUCGGUUAUGUAGACUCCAAUUGUAUCAACUAAACUGGCUCCAUCCUAGCUAAAUCAUAGUUCUCUAUGUUCCUGUUUAUUUGUCUCCAACAAACAACCUUAUACCCAAAAUGUCCAUGACAAUUUCCCAAAGAGAAAACAAUAAAAAGAUGUAUCUGAACAGACCAGCAUGGUACAUUGGUACCAAUGUGCCCGAUAAAACUCCGAGCAAAAGCCCUUCUAAUCAUGAUAGUUCAACUGACCAAUCAUAUCUACCUCAUAUAUACAAAGAAGGAGCAAAUAUUUUCUGUAAAGCACUCCUGGAACUGGACAGAAAAAAGAGGCAGUUCAUCAAUUUACUUUCAACACCGCAGACAGAACAAGUGGAUUGGUGGAGCUUGCCUAGCAUAUAAGCCUAAGUGCCAAGUCUCCAUAAGAGCCAAGACAUUAAAGCAAAUUAUGGUACAAAACCUUUUUACGGUACCAUCUCAUGCUAAUUGACUUCAUUACCAAUCUCCCUUAAAUGCUUUACAGCACUGUUGAAAGAAAACUAUUUAACUAGCAAGUAGCCACAGAGGUGAAUCAGAAGCAAAGGAAUUAGAUAAGAAGCAGUACGAAUAAGCUACUCAAGUUGCUGUACUGUUGCAUUUGCUAAUCUAGAGCAAAUCCAGCAUCUAGUACCCGCAAGAGUAUCACUUUUUUGGUAUUUGAGCUCCUAAAGCUAGCAAGAAUUCCGUGAGUAACCUUCAUUGUAAUGUUCCAAAGAAAUUGUACACACCAAGCAAAUGUGUCUACAACAUUGCCUGUAAUUGUCUUAACUAAGGUCCAGGCAGCACUGCUUAGAUGUAAUCAAUUAGUGUCUUCCUAAAGUCAUCUAUCUUGCUGCACUGUUCAAGAAAAUCUCUACCUAAAGAAAAAUGCCCCACAAAUUGUUGAAAGAACUUAUACUUCAACCCUGGUUCAAUGAACAUGCCUAAGAUUCAAGAAAGGAAAGCUAUCAAGACUUUUUGGUCAUGUACAGACAGUUUUUCAAGUUUGUUUCACAAUUUCUAAGGCCAUUUUAAAUAGUCACCUUCAGAAUCAACCCCACCCCCCCAACAAAAAAAAGAAGGCCUACUAGGAGCAGAAUUCCCGUCUUUUGGUGCCAAAAGGCAGGGAUGUAGUGUCCCUGUAUUUUGGUGCAUGUUGCAACAUCUUAAGAGAGUCCUCAAAGAGAGUUUCACAGGCAAGAAUCUCACAUUUUUUCAUAGUACCAUAUAAAAGAAAAAACAUUUUAAAGCAAGAAAAAUAACAGCAGCUAAACUGAAUUUAAGUAAACUAGCUGGCUAAAGCAACUAUAUAUGAUCAAUUAUGUGUUGCACCUAAAGUAUCAGCACUAUGGGCUUCAAAAAUUCAGAUAAUGGUUGCCAGUUAGAUUCAACUGUUGCUAUUUCAGUUCAACCAGCACUGGAUCUUUAGAUGAAAUAGUAGUACCUGUAACCUUAAAAUAUCAAGUAAAAGCAUAAACAGACUCCAAAAUGAAUCAAAACCUCCAAAUCAGUAUAAUUUUCAAUAUUCCCAACAACUGGUUAAAAAUUAAGAAAUACUAGCCAUGGUUUGUCCAACUUCCUAAACAGCUCAUGUAAGUAUGAUAGAAUAUAACCAUCACCGCAAAUUCCUUCUUGAAUCCUAGCAAUCUCUAACCCUUCCUCCAUGCUUCUUGAUGACAUGUAACCUGUGAUGUUAAACAAAAAAAAGUGCAAUGAACUCAACAACCCACAAAAUAAACAAACCACAAUAUGUGAAAACAGCAUAUUUUGCAAAACCAAUUUUAAAAACAAUAUUUCCACCAAAUAACUGAAGCAAUAGGUGAAACCUUAUUGCACUUAAUGGUGAAUUACACUAGCAAUAAGCUUCUCCAUCCUUUAAAAACACCAAAAUUUUGGUACCUGAAUCAAGAGAAACAUGUCCAGCUAUAUUAUGAACUCAACCACAAAUGAACAGAUAAACUCAAUAAACUAAUACCCUCAACUAGAGAGCUUCAGCUAGAUUACCAUACUUACAGAAUAUUCCUAAAAACAUACCAUUCACAGUUUCUGUUGUUGAUCCAACUUCAAAUUCUGCAUUUUCAAUCUUUUAACUUCUUGUGGUAUAUCAUGUGUUCUAAAUUCCAACUUGAAGCAAACUAUCCUUUCCCUAAUCCCAUUAUUUCUCAACAAACUCAAAAAGUUCUCCCAGUCCAAAUCUUCCUGCUGCUGCUGCUCCUUCAUCCCCCUUUCAGUAAAAACAAUUCUAUCCACUAUCACGUAUGUACCCAUAUCAAAGACCUCAACAUUGACUUCCUUUAAAUCAUGCAGCCAAAUCUUACUUAGCUGUGAAUCAUGAAACCUAUCCUGAAUUUUUCUGAACAUCAGUGUCUCAUAUAGAAACUUCAUUGCCUCAUUCUCUCGUACGUCAUCAUCCCAGUGUGCGUAGACAUAUUUAGGACGACAAACCCAAAAAAGACCAUCAAGGGCUGAAAGUCCCUUCUCUAAGGAGAACAUCCAAUCAAAUUGCAAAGCCAACUCAUGCACCUCUUGAGGCUCAUGAGUUUUUACUAUAUUUCUAAUCUCAUCCAGAUCAAAGGAUAUGCUGCAUCCAAAGUCAAUCUCAAGUGAAAUUUUGGACUGAAUUACACUUGCUAAUAAUUCUCUCAAUUUGACAAACCAUGAACUAUUAACAUCAACCCUCUUGGAUAAACAAAAGUAAGAAGUCCAACCGCUGGAUGCAGCUGCGAAAUGAAACCGGGGUACGAUGCUGCGACCACUACAAUAUUCAAAAGAAACAAUCUUUGGAACAUCAAACUGUGCCUCUACCAACCUAUUAUUGUCCAUCAACUGUAUCCUCUUGAGGGACUGACUUGAAAUCUUGAUGCUUUCCAAUUCUCUACAAUAUCUCACUAUCAAAUCCUCAAGGUUGGGAAACUUAUAUGCAAAUUCCAUAAAGAAAGAGUCGCCGAUCCCAAUCCCAGUAAACAGUAAACACUUGAGAUUCUGAUACCAUGAGGCAGUCAAAGUAAUCAAACAAGUCGAUUCCUCAUUACCAUUUUCCUCAUCUAUGCAAGUGAGCGACUCAAGCUCUGGUGCAUCAACUAUAACCGACUGAUUUUCAAGUAAUCCAACUGCAAGUUCCUUAAGAUUAUUCAACUUAGUCACCUUAAAAUUAUCAAACCCCUCAAUGUACCGAACUUCUAACACUUCAAUUAAAGGGCAGCUUUCAGUUAUAUUAUCAAACAUCUCUACAUCCAAAUCUACCUUUAUAAGGCAUAGUUUUCUAAGCUCAGAACACAUAAUCUUCCCAACUGACAUUGGCAUGAUAUAACCGUCCCUAACACUCAAUUCAACUAGGGAUUUAGCCCCAAACACAAUUUCAGGCAAAUCACAGUCUGGGAGUGAAAAAUCAAGAUUCCUCACCCCGUUUUGCACGGCUACCUUCGUGCAUUCCUCCAACCCGUUUCGCGCGGCUACCUUCGUGCAUUCCAUGACGAAUGGGUUCAACAGCGAAAAGACUCCUUCAACCCUGAAAUUCAACGUGUCUAUACAUAUCCCCUGCUUGCGGUAGGGCUUCAGGGUUUUCUUCACGUGCCAGAAAAACUCCUCGCAAAUAUUCGUUAUCUGUUUUUUGCUCCGAAGCCAGGUGCGGCGUAGCUUGAGUUUCUUGUGGAAGUAGAGCUUAGGAUUGAAUUCCAACUUUGGGCGUGUUUGCCACGCUCCUAACCAUGAUUUCGAUAGUAAACUCGCUCUUGUUGAUUCUUCGGCUGAGAGGUAAGAUAGGAUAUGGUGGAUUAUCUCCGGUGGUAGCUCUAAAGCUCCGCCGCCACCGCUGCGGCUGCUUUCCGCCAUGGAUUGAAGGACGGAUUUCAGCAGUUUCGUAACUGCGAAGACAACCGGUAAGCCUUUUAAGUGGAACCAAUAACCAUUUUUCCUUCAACAGUAAUAAAAACUUAACAAGGAAGUGGUUGAUACUUGUAGUGGCUGUUAGCUUAAAAUUAUACAAGUAUCAACUUGUGCAAGCCUUUUAAUUAAUCAUCAAUAUUUGUGUGCUUCCAAAAAAAAAUAUCAAUAUUUGUGGUAAUAUAGGAGAAUGUUAGCUUUCACAUAAACCACUAAACCAAGGAAGUGUUCUCAAAAUGCUUGAAAAUGUUAAAAUCAUGGUAUCAGAAUAAAAAUAGCACGGUGCUUCUAUUUUUUUUUCCUUUCCUUUCUUCUUAAUAUCGAAUAAAAAUAGAUGAGUAAAUAAAAAAUUCAAGGGGUUCAUGACCAACGAUAAAGAUAUACGAGUAACGGUGAUUUUGGAAUGUAUGGAUUGUGUUCGAAAUAGUGUUAAUAAGGUAUUAACAGAGAUUUCCAGAUAUAUUACUCAAAAAAAUCGGCACAAUACACCUAAUCGAUUAGAGAUAAAAAUAACUAAAGGAUGGACCAACCUUAUUCCAUAUUUGUAUCUAUCAUUUAGAAAUAUUCGUGAUUUUCAAUAGCUUUUUGUAAACAGACUCAAAAAACAAACAUAGGUGGACUCAAAAAAUAAAUGUGUAAUUUGCUAUUUUGCCGUGUAUAUCAAAGUAUUGGCCCUGUUCAAUAAAAUCAAGUGUGUUGGAAAAGGGAAUGGUGACUAAAAAGUGCAUUGAAGUGUAUUAACAUUGUGCACCCUGUUUUGCAGGGCAUGCUUGUUUUUUUUCAACCGAUGGUAUUACACUAGUUUUUUUCUUUUUUAAAGCAGCGGUAUUACACUAGUUUGGUUCUCUCUUUUCUUCCCGCAAAGUAAUAAAUCCAACAUGUUGGAAUAGAAAUAAUUUGCAAAAAAAAAACAUAUAUAUAUUUACUCGCAUCAAAAACCUACUAUUCAACACGUUUUUUUAUCUUUUCAAUUAUUUUUUAUUUUACAUACAUUAUAUCAUAAAAAAGUGAUAUAUUAAUUAUUCUAAAUAAUCCCCUGUCCAAUCACUCUCGUCGCUUUCAAGUGCCUGACCAAUUGAUCCAAGCAAACCAACCAUUAACUGAGUUUGUUUGGAUAAGAGUUUAUUUGGAUGAUUUAUUUGAGAUAUUUACUGUAGCACUUUUUGUGAUGUGAUGUAUGUGAGAUAAAAAGGUGAUUGGGAAGAUAAAAAGGUGAUUGGGAUUUGUGAGAAUAAAUUUUGCAAACUAAAUUAUAUUUGUCCAAACAAACUCAACUGUGUUUUAUAUAGGACAGCGUUAAUGGCGUUCCAAAAUUUAUUAUUCACACAAUCACACUCCUCUUUUGGGUUCCUUCUAUUGGAACUAGGAGCAUUUUUUUUUUUUUAAAUUUCUAAAUGGUCAGGGGGCCUUUUACCUUGGAAAAUCAUACAACUAUCUCAUGGGAAGUCAAGGGCCCUUUACUUUGAAAAAUCAUACAACUACCUUAUGGGAAGUUAGCUGCAUCCACAAAUGAUAUAAAUAUGACUGCUGCUUUAGCAUUACUAACGCAUAAUAAAAAGGAUUAAGUUAUUUCGGGAAAUAUAUUUAACCAACCCCAACCCUUUUUUUCACCUAUAGAAUGGUAAGUUUUAAAGAGCAACAAAAAAGAAAGCAUAAUUUAGAAACCUCCUCUAAGGUUUUUGGCAUUUAUGGCUCCCUCCCUUGAAAUUUGAAAAAUUACACUUACACCUCUCUUGAUGUUAUGAAAAGACUAUGAUAACCUUCACAAACUUUACAAAAUUUGAGUGAAAAAUGAGUUUGAAAGAGAAAACAAAAAUCCUUUUUUGGUAAUGUUUCUUUAUCCUAAAACUCUAAUGUCAUCUUAUCUCGUACAUUAUACUUCAUUCCCAAUUCUUCUGACUAGAUUUCUUAAUCAAUUUAUAAAAAGGCAACCAACCAAUUAGGAAUGCAUUUAUUAAAAUAAGUAUCGUCAAAAAUUACUUAAGCGAAAAAAAUGUCCAAAAUACCGGAAAAAGGAUGCUUUCAAAACAUGACUUAAAUUUUUCUGUGAAAAACUAACUUGAAAUUUUCACUUAACGCAUAAUAGUGAUAGUUGAUUUUUUUAGCAUUUAAUUUAUUUUAUACAUCACAGAGAGGUUAUAUGGAAUAUUCAUUGAAAUUUUUUUUUAUGCUUACAUCACCAAUUUGUUACCAAGACAUGCUUUCUAGAAGAGGUUUCUUGUAAUUUUCCAAACCUCAACAGAGGUGGCUAUAAUUGUCCGAACUCGAAGUGUUGUGAGAAUGACAAAUUUUAGAGUAUGAUUAACAUUUUCCUGUAUACAUAAUAUAUUAUUACUAUUCAAGAAUCCACAUUUGCUGCUUUAAUUAUGUUACUGCUAGAACUGUUAAUCGAGCUGAGUCGAGCUCGAGCACAUGAUAAUUGAGUUCAACUCGAACCUCCAAUCGAGUUAGCUCGAAUUCGCUCGAUUAGCAAUUCGAGUUUCAAAAGCCGUUCGAGAUUGACUUGUCAAACUCGGCUGAAAACUCGAACUCGAGCUCAAAAUCGAACCGAGCUUAACGAACUGAGUCGAACCCUAAUCGAGAAAAGGAAAGAGGGUAAAACUAUUAGAUACAAAAUGAAAUUACAAUAAUGCCCCUACUAUUCGAGCCUAUCAAGCUGUUAACGAGCCGAGUUAAAACUAUUAGAUACAAAAUGAAAUUACAAUAAUACCCCUACUAUUCGAGCCUAUCAAGCUGUUAACGAGUCGAGCAUAGCUCGGCUCGUUUAAUAGACGAGUAUAUAUACAACUUGAGCUCGGCUCUUUUUUCUUAGUAAAUGAGCCAAGUCGAGCUCUUAUCGAGCUGGGUCAAGCUCAACUCGCGAGCUACCCGAUUCAAUUAAGAGCUCUAGUUACUGCAUGCAAUAUUAACGAGUGACAAACUUUGUUGUCUCUAUAUCUUGUUAUUUCAAAAUCAUUUUUUGUUGCGUCAAGAUCUACAUUUGAUUUUUUGUUAUUUCAAAAUCUACAUUUGGUUUUUAUGCAAGAACGCCCAGUGCCUAGUAAAGGACAUAUUUUUGGGAAAAUGGCGAGGUCCGAGAAGAGAACAACCUUUUUACAUCCAGGGCAUCUUCACAUAAACGAAGGCAUUGAGCCCUAUUCCUUAGUUUCGAGAACUAUUUCAGCACAAACUGGGAAAAAUACCAGUAUUUAGCAUGAAAAUCUGCCUCGGAUAUCAUUUGAUGCUGAAGCAUCUGAUUCCCAACCUCCCCAUUGCAAGUGCAACGAAUCACAAGUGAAACUGGUGACAUAUGUUUAUACAUCCAUGUCGAGGUGCAAAUAGUUCACUGGAGACUCGACAAUCUAAGUACAAGAGGCACUCAGAUUAAAGAUUUAAAAUGACAAAUAUUACUCUCUCAACUUGGACAAUAAUAUUCUAGAUCUAUUCAAAUUUACAACAACCAGACUGGAAAACCAGGGCAGAGUAGGCAUAAGAUUGAAAUGCUACCAGGUAACAUGGCAGGAAAACCAAGCGGAAGGAUGGGGCAUAAGAAUCCAAGGCUGCAGACAUGCUAAUCAUCG
RNAcentral lists this long non-coding RNA (25938 nucleotides) under Coffea arabica (coffee). Its description in RNAcentral is "long non-coding RNA (CARA_LNC006639)". The record is from RNAcentral. Lineage: Eukaryota; Viridiplantae; Streptophyta; Magnoliopsida; Gentianales; Rubiaceae.